RNAcentral lists this ribosomal RNA (227 nucleotides) under Clostridioides difficile. RNAcentral's name for it is "partial 23S ribosomal RNA". It matches the Rfam family "Bacterial large subunit ribosomal RNA", at positions 617 to 842 of the family's 2925-position model. The record is from RNAcentral. Lineage: Bacteria; Bacillati; Bacillota; Clostridia; Peptostreptococcales; Peptostreptococcaceae.
GGGCACACGAGUUACGUUAAGUAGCAAGGUUAAGCAGUUAAGGGGUGGAGCCGUAGCGAAAGCGAGUUUUAACUGAGCGUUCAGUUACUUGCCGUAGACCCAAAACCGGGCGACCUACCCAUGAGCAGGAUGAAGCGAAAGUAAAAUUUCGUGGAGGUCCGAACCCACGAGCGUUGAAAAGCUCGGGGAUGACUUGUGGGUAGCGGUGAAAUUCCAAUCGAGCCCGG